Molecule: transfer RNA, 63 nt
Filed under: Chondrodactylus laevigatus (Fischer's thick-toed gecko)
Lineage: Eukaryota; Metazoa; Chordata; Lepidosauria; Squamata; Gekkonidae
Description: tRNA-Trp
Source: RNAcentral
AAACUUAGGUUAAUAAAACCGGAAGCCUUCAAAGCUUCAAAUAGGACCAAUUCCUAGUCUCUG